Molecule: ribosomal RNA, 717 nt
Filed under: Perdix perdix (grey partridge)
Lineage: Eukaryota; Metazoa; Chordata; Aves; Galliformes; Phasianidae
Description: partial 12S ribosomal RNA
Rfam family: Bacterial small subunit ribosomal RNA
Source: RNAcentral
GGUAAAUCUCGUGCCAGCCACCGCGGUCAUACAAGAAACCCUAGUCAAUAGCCCCCGGCGUAAAGAGUGGUCAUAUGCUAUCUACAACCCUAAGAUCGAAAUGCAACUAAGCUGUCAUAAGCCCAAGACUCACUUAAGCUCAACUUUAACCCAUCUUAGCCCAAUGAUUAAUUUAACCCCACGAAAGCCAGGACACAAACUGGGAUUAGAUACCCCACUAUGCCUGGCCCUAAAUCUAGACACCCGCACACCCGAGUGUCCGCCUGAGAACUACGAGCACAAACGCUUAAAACUCUAAGGACUUGGCGGUGCCCUAAACCCACCUAGAGGAGCCUGUUCUGUAACCGAUAAUCCACGAUUCACCCAACCACCCCUUGCCAGUACAGCCUACAUACCGCCGUCGUCAGCCCACCUGAAAUGAAAGACCAACAGUGGGCUCAAUAGCCCCCGCUAAUAAGACAGGUCAAGGUAUAGCCUAUGGGGUGGGAGAAAUGGGCUACAUUUUCUACCAUAGAAUAGACGGAAAAGGACGUGAAAUUCGUCCUUGGAAGGAGGAUUUAGCAGUAAAAUGGGACCAUAACCCUAAGCCCACUUUAAGCUGGCCCUGGGGCACGUACAUACCGCCCGUCACCCUCUUCACAGGCCACCAGUAUUGAUAAAUAAUACCUCACCCCCAGCCAAAGACGAGGUAAGUCGUAACAAGGUAAGCAUACUGGA